Molecule: ribosomal RNA, 252 nt
Filed under: uncultured bacterium
Lineage: Bacteria
Description: partial 16S ribosomal RNA
Rfam family: Bacterial small subunit ribosomal RNA
Source: RNAcentral
UACGGAGGAUCCGAGCGUUAUCCGGAUUUAUUGGGUUUAAAGGGAGCGUAGGUGGAUUGUUAAGUCUGGUGUAAAAGGCAGUGGCUCAACCAUUGUAUGCAUUGGAAACUGGUAGACUUGAGUGCAGGAGAGGAGAGUGGAAUUCCAUGUGUAGCGGUGAAAUGCGUAGAUAUAUGGAGGAACACCGGUGGCGAAAGCGGCUCUCUGGCCUGUAACUGACGCUGAAGUUCGAAAGCGUGGGUAGCAAACAGG